GCGAAAGCGUGGGGAGCAAACAGGAUUAGAUACCCUGGUAGUCCACGCCCUAAACGAUGGAUGCUAGUUGUUGGAGGGCUUAGUCUCUCCAGUAAUGCAGCUAACGCAUUAAGCAUCCCGCCUGGGGAGUACGGUCGCAAGAUUAAAACUCAAAGGAAUAGACGGGGACCCGCACAAGCGGUGGAGCAUGUGGUUUAAUUCGAAGAUACACGAAGAACCUUACCUAGGCUUGACAUUGAGAGAAUCCACUAGAAAUAGUGGAGUGUCUAGCUUGCUAGACCUUGAAAACAGGUGCUGCACGGCUGUCGUCAGCUCGUGUCGUGAGAUGUUGGGUUAAGUCCCGCAACGAGCGCAACCCCCUUUCUUAGUUGCUAACAGGUCAUGCUGAGAACUCUAAGGAUACUGCCUCCGUAAGGAGGAGGAAGGUGGGGACGACGUCAAGUCAUCAUGGCCCUUACGCCUAGGGCUACACACGUGCUACAAUGGGGUGCACAAAGAGAAGCAAUACUGCGAAGUGGAGCCAAUCUUCAAAACGCCUCUCAGUUCGGAUUGUAGGCUGCAACUCGCCUGCAUGAAGCUGGAAUCGCUAGUAAUCGCAAAUCAGCCAUGUUGCGGUGAAUACGUUCCCGGGUCUUGUACUCACCGCCCGUCACACCAUGGGAGUUGUGUUUGCCUUAAGUCAGGAUGCUAAAUUGGCUACUGCCCACGGCACACACAGCGACUGGGGUGAAGUCGUAACAAGGUAACCGUAGGUGAACCUGCGGUUGGAUCACCU
This 775-nucleotide ribosomal RNA is filed under the name Helicobacter pylori GAM117Ai. Its description in RNAcentral is "bacterial SSU rRNA". It matches the Rfam family "Bacterial small subunit ribosomal RNA", at positions 753 to 1528 of the family's 1533-position model. The record is from RNAcentral. Lineage: Bacteria; Pseudomonadati; Campylobacterota; Epsilonproteobacteria; Campylobacterales; Helicobacteraceae.